AGAGUUUGAUCCUGGCUCAGAUUGAACGCUGGCGGCAGGCUUAACACAUGCAAGUCGAGCGGGGAAGAGUAGCUUGCUACUUUACUUAGCGGCGGACGGGUGAGUAAUGCUUAGGAAUCUGCCUAUUAGUGGGGGACAACAUUUCGAAAGGAAUGCUAAUACCGCAUACGUCCUACGGGAGAAAGCAGGGGACCUUCGGGCCUUGCGCUAAUAGAUGAGCCUAAGUCGGAUUAGCUAGUUGGUGGGGUAAAGGCCUACCAAGGCGACGAUCUGUAGCGGGUCUGAGAGGAUGAUCCGCCACACUGGGACUGAGACACGGCCCAGACUCCUACGGGAGGCAGCAGUGGGGAAUAUUGGGCAAUGGGCGCAAGCCUGAUCCAGCAAUACCGCGUGUGUGAAGAAGGCCUGCGGGUUGUAAAGCACUUUCAGUUGGGAAGAUAAUGACGUUACCAACAGAAGAAGCACCGGCUAACUCCGUGCCAGCAGCCGCGGUAAUA
RNAcentral lists this ribosomal RNA (497 nucleotides) under uncultured bacterium. RNAcentral describes it as "bacterial SSU rRNA". It matches the Rfam family "Bacterial small subunit ribosomal RNA", at positions 8 to 525 of the family's 1533-position model. The record is from RNAcentral.